ACUCUUUGACACCAGCUGGGCUUCCCCAAAGAUAGCCUUAGCCGUCUCCCCUCUUAGUUCUCUUCCUCCUUCAAUUUUAUUUCUCUCCACCCCCACUGCCACUGCCAAACCAAGCCAUCAUCCCUUCUCACCUGGACUACUGUCACCACUCCCUGCCCGUCUCCUCCCUAGGUCCACACUCUCAGAAACCACAGCAUUCCCUGCUUAAAGUCUAGCAAGUAUUCCCACUGUACCUCAGAUGAGACUCCCGAAACCUCACCAGGCCCCUACCUCCUCUCCAGCCUCACCUCCAUCUACUUGCCCUGCCGACCACAGCGGCAUUCAGAGUCCUCUUAGAACAAGCCAAGUUCUUUCCCCUCUCAGUGUUUUUACAUACACAGUACCUCCUCCCAACCCUAUUUUGUUUAUCCUAUUUUAUUUUUAUCCUAUUUUAUUUUCAUACUUAUCAUUGUCUGAAAUGAUCUCAUUUAUGGUUUGGUUUUGUCUCCUGCCCGGAGACUUAAACACAGUUCCUACGCACGGUAGAACAGUAUUUCUCAACAGGCAGUGGGGAAGAUGUUCCCAAGGGACACUUAGCCAUGUCUAGAGGUGUUUCGGGUUGUCAUAACUAAGGGACUGCUGCGGGUGGGUAGAGGCCAGGGAUGCUGCUAAACUCACUCAACAAUGCACAGGGUGGCCCGCCACAAGAAGGAGUUCUCUGACCCCGAAUGUCAAUAUUGCCGAGGUUGAGAUACCCUGCAGUGAUGCUUAUGGCGGAGGAUACUCGGUGUGCCCCAAUACCAAUCUUUAAUGCACCUGUGGUGAGAGAUACCCCGAUGUUUUUACACACAGCUGCCAAGCAUAAGGACAGUAUUUUCCAGUCUCCUUGUAGGUAGAAACAGGAAGGAAUGUCACGUGGUGGCAGUUUCUUUUUUUUCCUUCUUCCAUCCUGCUGCCUGAUACACAGGCGCUGCCAUCUGAGAUCCUGAGAUUGAGGCCGUGCAAGCUAAAGCAACAAGACAGAAGGAUGCUGUGUGCCUGCCACCACAGAGCACCCACCUCUCCUGAAUCGCUUCUCACCAGAUAGUUCAGUAAAUAAAUGACAACAGAUAUGUUUAAUGCAUUGUCUCUCUUAACAGCCUAGACAUGGGUAAAGAACCAAAAACACAUUUGGCCUUCUAGCACAAAACCAUCAACCUUUUUUCCUUUCUCUUUCCUACUCAAAGGGUUUCGACUUCCCUGCCAUUUUCAUUAGGAUCAUGAUUUUAAAUUACAUCCUCUACUUUCUCUGCAGUCCAGCUUAUUAUAUUUAACUUAACCAUUAUUAGUCCAUUGACAGCGUGCAGUGUGCCCCCCACAAUGUCUGUGCAUUUCACACGGGAAGAAUUUACAAGGAAAGAUCUCUGCUCUCUCCUCUGUCUUUACUGUGACUUUUGCCACAAGGAGAACAAACACAGGCGCAUUCAGUUACACUUUGUAUAACCACACAGAACAUAAGAGCUUGAGGUCUAAUUGUGACAAAAUUAGAAAAGACUUAAGUUCCUACAGGGUUUUGUUCUUGGUGAUCACCCGUUUUCCUAAAUUUGGGCAAAGGACGUAUUUGAAGUUUUGGCUUUGCCCCGUAAGCCAGAUGCCUUCCUGGUCAGCCAAGUUUCUCCAGACUGUAUUUAUCACUCCUUCAGAGAUCUUUGUUCUCCCUGAAGCAACACCGUGGUAAAGAAUUUCAUUCUCAUUCUUCCAAGGGCUGCCAAUUUCCUGGAGCCCAAAUGACUUCCUGGCACAUCUCAGCCAAGGGCUUCCUGAAAUAACCCUCCACAGGGGGUUACUUCUGAAAAGUCUUCUUUAAGUUUGUUUGGUUUUUUCCUCUUAAAACAAAAUUGACACACAACUAAUGUAGAAAACAUAAAAAUCACAGAAAAAGAAUACAGUUAGCAGUUUGGUUAAUGCUCUUACACAUACAAAUACUUAUUAUACACAUAGGAAUAUUUACAAAAGUGAGAUCAUGCCAUACAUGCUAUUCUGUGACCUGCUUUUAUUCCCCGACAUCAAUAAAGAUUUUUCUAGAACAGGACCUCCAACAGGUCAUGGAAACAUCACCCAUCACCCGAGGGGUCAGGGUUUUUUCAAGCUACAUAUAGUCGUACCCAUAUGCCCCAUUCACCACUAACUACACCAUUGAGAAUUACCACCCCCCCCCCCGCAGGCAGCAGGACUGUGCCAUAACCGUCCAGUAUGUGAGGACAGGAAAAGGGGAUGAGAGCCACUGUCCUGUGACACACAAUAUGUGAUUUAGCCCCUGUUGGACAUUUAAUGAGAACCUUUAUUGGCAGAAAAUGCUCUACAAGCAGUAGAGCAUCGUGGUUAUAUGCACAGACCACCUGGAAUCAAAUCCCACUUUGAGUCCUAGUUUCUUCAUUUUUAAAGUGACAGUAAGACUACCUCAGGGACUUGCUGAGAGGAUUAAAUGAGGUAAAACACUUUGUCUGGCAGAAAGCGACUCUGAACGUUAUACAAAAACUGGUACCCAAUGGUAAAUUGCCUUCAAGAAAGAGAAAGGAAGAGAAAAAAAUAUAAUCUGAAAGGAGAAUUUAUAUGUUUUAAAAAUGGACCCCCUAGUUCUACAUAAUGAAAAUGUACAAUGAGGCAGUUUUGGAUGACUUUUUCUGACAACUCUAGGCUGUCAUUCCCCUGACACCUCUCCUCCAGCCCCAGGCAAAGCCCAGCAUCUAAUUUGCAUAGGAAUGCAAUAAAUGUUUGUUUAUUUGGAUUGAAUUCAGUUCUAAUGCAUCAGAUUCUCUUCAGAUGAUUCUUCCCAUUCCUCGUCUUUAGGGUAUGUCCUGUUGUUUUAAGAUUAUGACAGAAUCAACUACCAUUUUGACCAACUUUCUUAAGAUAUUAAUUAGUCCCUUUUCCAGGCCAGUAACAUAUUUCUCUUCAAAUCCCAUUGGCAGAUUUGAUGUUGUGGAAGGGCCUGUGUCUGGGGUGUUUCAUUAGCCACUUGAACCUUUACUGCAACUCUUAUUUUUCCUUUCCCUAUGAUUAAAAAUACAUACACACUUGUGUAUGUGUGGCUGUGUAUGUGUGUGAUGUUUCUAACUCUUUGAAAAAUAAAAGAGGCAAGGGCAGGGGCAGAUCUACAGUUUGCAGUGGAGGGGGCUUACUAGAUAAAAUUUGUAGAGAUCUCUGUAAGAAAAAUAAUAUAAAAUUACCAAAGCAAAAUUAGGUUUGAACAUGAGAAUUUCUUCAGAAUAAGAACAGAAAUGACAACAAAUUGCUAGAGACUUGGAGACCCAGAUCCCUUUCUUCUAAGGGACUCCUUAACGCCAUAUAAAUCUGCCUCUAGGGAAGAAAUGGGAGGGCAAAGUUAAUGUAAUCAACAUGCUGAAAACUUCUUCAAAAUCUAACGGAACAUGCAUCACAAUCACGUUUUUAUUUCAUGGUAAGUAUAUUAGUUUCCUAUUGCUGCUGUAACACAUUACCACAAAUGUGGCUCACAACAACACAAAUGUGUUCUCCUACAAUUCUGGAGGUUAGAAGUCUGAAAUGAGUGUGAUGGGGCUAAAAUCCGAGUGUUGGCAGGGCUUGUUUCUUCCGGAGGCCCUAGAGGAGGGUCUGUUUCCCCACCUUUUCCAGCUCUGCAUUCCUCUGUCUGCAUUGUAUCCUCAGAGCCAGCAAUGGCCAGUGGAGUCUUUCUCUUCACACUCUGACAUUGGUCUGCUUCCCUCUUUCACAUUAAGGACCCUUGUGAUUACAUUGUGUCCACCCAGAGAAGCCAGGGUAAUCUCUUUAUCUUAAAGACGAUUGAUUUGCUACCAUUGCUUUUGAUAUUUAAUUCCACCUGCUAUCUUAAUUCCUCUUUGCCACGUGAGUUAACACACUUAACAGGAACUUCCCUGGUGGUCCAGUGGUAACAACUAAGAGUUCACAGCUAGGACCCGGUACAGCCAAACUAAGUAAAUAAAUAUUUUAAAAAACAAAAAGAAACAAAACACUUAACAGUUUCUGGGGAUUAGAAUAUGGUCACCUUUGGGGAGACCAUUGUUCCGUCUACCACAGUGAAGAAGCUACUUGAAUGCCAAGUACUUUUGAAAAUGCUUUUUGCAAUCGGAUUCCUAUAACAUUGGUUCUCCGUUUGGAGAAUUUGCGGGGUGGGGCGGUAAUAGAGGGAAUUUUAUUUUAUUUAAAUUGAAGUAUAGGUGAUUUACAAUGUUGUGUUACUUAGAGGCGGGUACAGCAAAGUGAUUCAAUUAUACAUACAUAUCUAUUUUUUUCCAGAUUCUUUUCCCUUAGAGGUCAUUACAAAAUACUGAAUAUAGUCCCUGGAGAAUUUUUAUUUUUAAAAGUCCAUCUGUGAGGGAAUCCAAAGCAUGACUGUAUGUUUCAGAACUGAAAGGGAGCAGGUAUUCCAAGCUGAGCAUGCCCAAAGCCUGCUGCCUGUGGUUUUUCCAAAUGAAGGCAGCUGCAAAACUCUGCCAACACUUAAAGAUAUCAGAUGUAGGAUUUUCACUCAAAGAAAACAAAAUUGCAAAAAGAUAGCUGAUUGAACACACCUUUUUACUCUCUCCUAAAUUGCACUAAAACUAAAGGGAGUUUUUAAAGGCAUAAACCUAUAAGGAUAAAGUGAGUAUGAGAAGAAACAGCACCAAAGUUCUAGAAGCUGCAAAGCAGGUGAACAAGCGGUACUGACUUGGUGGAACUGAGGAAGAAUGAAUUCUACUUCCUCCAGGAAGGGCAAGUCAAGAACAAAGUCCGUUUAAAGGACCAAAUAACUGAGGCUCCGGAAGUGGUGGCACCAGCUACUUCCGGCAAAGGAGUGCUGAAAUGAGGCGGCUUGGUUGAAAUGCUGUUUGAAAAGCAGAUCUCUAGAUGCCCCUGUCUUCCUGCAGUGCUCGGUGACCGCCCUCCCUCACCCUAGCAGCGACAGUUCAUCUCUCUGAAGAGCUGGUAAAGCAGGUCUUUUUCCGAAACAGAAAACAGAAUUUCAGAGGUGUAUGGGAGAAGAAAGCUUUCUCUCAGCCAAGAUGUGUGCAGUUCCUCCAGACCCGUGGCACGUCCUCUCAAUCUAGGGAAGUAUUGCCACUGCUUAGCAUUUGGGAUGAAGCCAACAGCGACGUUCAGCAAAUAUGGGUUUCAUCUACUCGAAAAUAAUUGCCUUUACAUCUUGUGACAUCUUCCAUGGACUCUGCAGUGAAAAUCAAUUAUAAUCCCUUUUGGUGGGAGAAACUAAAUUAGAAAGAAAAGUGAUCAGAAACAGAAGGCAGCUUGACGCUUGUGAUGCCAAGUUUGCUCAACGUGUGAUUCAAAAGCCGUGGUGACACAUCUAUCUCUUUGGAAAGAAGUCCUGGAAAUGACUAAAUUCUGGUAAAUAAGAACCACCCACCUCUAUGUGAAACAGGUGAAGCUUGAUUUCUAAAGUG
Molecule: long non-coding RNA, 5396 nt
Organism: Orcinus orca (killer whale)
Lineage: Eukaryota; Metazoa; Chordata; Mammalia; Artiodactyla; Delphinidae
Exons: 3
Source: RefSeq, a predicted model, not a curated record